UACAGAGGGUGCGAGCGUUAAUCGGAAUUACUGGGCGUAAAGCGCACGUAGGCGGCUUUGUAAGUUAGAGGUGAAAGCCCAGGGCUUAACCCUGGAAUUGCCUUUAAGACUGCAUCGCUAGAAUCGUGGAGAGGUGAGUGGAAUUCCGAGUGUAGAGGUGAAAUUCGUAGAUAUUCGGAAGAACACCAGUGGCGAAGGCGACUCACUGGACACGUAUUGACGCUGAGGUGCGAAAGCGUGGGGAGCAAACAGG
RNAcentral lists this ribosomal RNA (253 nucleotides) under uncultured bacterium. RNAcentral describes it as "partial 16S ribosomal RNA". It matches the Rfam family "Bacterial small subunit ribosomal RNA", at positions 524 to 776 of the family's 1533-position model. The record is from RNAcentral.